RNAcentral lists this microRNA precursor (81 nucleotides) under Dictyocaulus viviparus (bovine lungworm). RNAcentral's name for it is "mir-81 microRNA precursor family". It matches the Rfam family "mir-81 microRNA precursor family". Lineage: Eukaryota; Metazoa; Nematoda; Chromadorea; Rhabditida; Metastrongylidae. The record is from Rfam by way of RNAcentral.
ACACAAUCGGCGAGCGGUUUUCACUGUGAUCUGAGAGUUCAUACUUCUGAGAUCAUUGUGAAGGCCACUUGCCUUGUGCCG